Cordylochernes scorpioides is the source of this 73-nucleotide non-coding RNA. The record is from the annotation of a GenBank genome assembly. Lineage: Eukaryota; Metazoa; Arthropoda; Arachnida; Pseudoscorpiones; Chernetidae.
ACUAGGGUAGCCUAGUGGACAUGGCACCUGCCCGGUAAGCAGAAGGUUGUGGGUUCGAUUCCCGCCCCUGGAA